GUCCACGCCGUAAACGAUGAAUACUAGGUGUUGGGAAGCAUUGCUUCUCGGUGCCGUCGCAAACGCAGUAAGUAUUCCACCUGGGGAGUACGUUCGCAAGAAUGAAACUCAAAGGAAUUGACGGGGACCCCGCACAAGCGGUGGAGCAUGUGGUUUAAUUCGAAGCAACGCGAAGAACCUUACCAAGUCUUGACAUCCUUCUGACCGGUACUUAAUCGUACCUUCUCUUCGGAGCAGGAGUGACAGGUGGUGCAUGGUUGUCGU
Molecule: ribosomal RNA, 264 nt
Filed under: uncultured bacterium
Lineage: Bacteria
Description: partial 16S ribosomal RNA
Rfam family: Bacterial small subunit ribosomal RNA
Source: RNAcentral